GCCAGCAGACAUAUCACUCUGCAACUGGCAACCCACUGAAGCUAAGCAGGUGUGAGCCUGGUCAGUACCUGGAUGGGAGACAUCCUGGGAAAAACUAAGGUUGCUGCUGGAA
RNAcentral lists this ribosomal RNA (112 nucleotides) under Lepisosteus oculatus (spotted gar). Lineage: Eukaryota; Metazoa; Chordata; Actinopteri; Semionotiformes; Lepisosteidae. The record is from RNAcentral.